Molecule: ribosomal RNA, 274 nt
Filed under: uncultured bacterium
Lineage: Bacteria
Description: partial 16S ribosomal RNA
Rfam family: Archaeal small subunit ribosomal RNA
Source: RNAcentral
AAACCAGCACCUCAAGUGGUCAGGAUGAUUAUUGGGCCUAAAGCAUCCGUAGCCUGCUCUGUAAGUUUUCGGUUAAAUCCAUAUGCUCAACAUAUGGGCUGCCGGGAAUACUGCACAGCUAGGGAGUGGGAGAGGUAGACGGUACUCGGUAGGAAGGGGUAAAAUCCUUUGAUCUAUUGAUGACCACCUGUGGCGAAGGCGGUCUACCAGAACACGUCCGACGGUGAGGGAUGAAAGCUGGGGGAGCAAACCGGAUUAGAAACCCCAGUAGUCC